AUACGGAGGGUGCAAGCGUUAUUCGGAAUCACUGGGCGUAAAGGGCGCGUAGGCGGUUUGAUAAGUCUGAUGUGAAAUCCUAUGGCUCAACCAUAGAACUGCAUUGGAAACUGUCAGACUAGAAUACUGAAGGGGCAGAUGGAAUUAGUGGUGUAGGGGUAAAAUCCGUAGAUAUCACUAGGAAUACCGAAAGCGAAAGCGAUCUGCUGGGAAGUUAUUGACGCUGAGGCACGAAAGCGUGGGGAGCAAACGGGAUUAGAAACCCUAGUAGUCC
Molecule: ribosomal RNA, 274 nt
Filed under: uncultured bacterium
Lineage: Bacteria
Description: partial 16S ribosomal RNA
Rfam family: Bacterial small subunit ribosomal RNA
Source: RNAcentral